GGUACCUACGGGAGGCAGCAGUGGGGAAUAUUGGACAAUGGGGGAAACCCUGAUCCAGCGACGCCGCGUGAGUGAAGAAGUAUUUCGGUAUGCAAAGCUCUAUCAGCAGGGAAGAAAGAAAUGACGGUACCUGACUAAGAAGCCCCGGCUAACUACGUGCCAGCAGCCGCGGUAAUACGUAGGGGGCAAGCGUUAUCCGGAUUUACUGGGUGUAAAGGGAGCGUAGACGGCGAUGCAAGUCUGAAGUGAAAGGCGGGGGCCCAACCCCCGGACUGCUUUUGAAACUGUGUUGCUAGAUUGCAGGG
This 305-nucleotide ribosomal RNA is filed under the name uncultured bacterium. RNAcentral describes it as "bacterial SSU rRNA". It matches the Rfam family "Bacterial small subunit ribosomal RNA", at positions 334 to 653 of the family's 1533-position model. The record is from RNAcentral.